Molecule: unclassified non-coding RNA, 221 nt
Filed under: Hevea brasiliensis (rubber tree)
Lineage: Eukaryota; Viridiplantae; Streptophyta; Magnoliopsida; Malpighiales; Euphorbiaceae
Source: RNAcentral
UUGGCAUAUUUCCAAAGGCAUUUAUUAUUAUUAUACCAUAAAUUAGCCCCCUUUAUUUGACUUCAUCAGCAUCAUUGCUCUCAAAAGUCAAAUGGGUUUAACUGUUCUGUUAAGCAUGAAUUAGGAAGUUUGUCAUCUUCAAAACCCACUGCUCAGCCAGAAUGUUUGCCAUUUGUGAAUAGCAAUAACCAAAUAAUUAAAUGCAUAUUUUUAAGUAGUUG